This 429-nucleotide ribosomal RNA is filed under the name Bacteroidota bacterium. RNAcentral's name for it is "Bacteroidetes bacterium partial 16S ribosomal RNA". It matches the Rfam family "Bacterial small subunit ribosomal RNA", at positions 355 to 776 of the family's 1533-position model. The record is from RNAcentral. Lineage: Bacteria; Pseudomonadati; Bacteroidota.
UAGGGAAUCUUCCGCAAUGGACGCAAGUCUGACGGAGCAACGCCGCGUGAGUGAAGAAGGAUUUCGGUUCGUAAAACUCUGUUGUUAGAGAAGAACAGCGCAUAGAGUAACUGUUAUGCGUGUGACGGUAUCUAACCAGAAAGCCACGGCUAACUACGUGCCAGCAGCCGCGGUAAUACGUAGGUGGCAAGCGUUAUCCGGAAUUAUUGGGCGUAAAGCGCGCGUAGGCGGUUUUUUAAGUCUGAUGUGAAAGCCCACGGCUCAACCGUGGAGGGUCAUUGGAAACUGUUUAACUUGAGUGCAGAAGGGGAGAGUGGAAUUCCAUGUGUAGCGAUGAAAUGCGUAGAUAUAUGGAGGAACACCGGUGGCGAAAGCGGCUCUCUGGUCUGUAACUGACGCUGAGGCUCGAAAGCGUGGGGAGCGAACAGG